GAGAGGAGAGAAGGAGGUGGAGGAGGAGAGAGGAGGAAGAAGAGAAUUCCUUCUACGUCUCCUUUCUCUCUCUUUUAGGACCUUGUUCCUUUCUCUCUCUUCCUUCUUUGCUUCUAUUGGCACAGGAGUAAAGAGAGGAGAAAGAAAUCCGUCCACAAUUUAUCAGCAAAAGUUUCUGUUUGUUCCUUGUUAUAGAAUUGUUUCUGUUUACGUCUCUGGUGGAUUUGGAGUGCUAUUUCUGUCGUUAUUGUUGCUGGCUUUUUGGAAGGUAAAGAUGAUGGUGGCGAACAGCUUUGAUUUGUGGCAGAAGGACGCUUUCUUCUCCGCCGCAGAGGAGGUUCAAGAAUCUGCAGAUAUAAUGGAAUCAGCAUACCGCUUGUGGAUUAGAGAGAAGGGAGAAGGGCGAGCUCAAGAGGAUUUGGAUGAGCUUUUCAGGGAGCUGCAGGCUGCUUUAGGUACUGCAAAGUGGCAGUUGGAAGAGUUUGAGAGGGCUGUCAGGUUGAGCCGUGGGCAUCGCUUCGACGAAAUUACUGCAACUAGACACAGACAAUUUGUUGCUGCCAUUGAAAAUCAAAUUUCUCGAGUGGAAGCUGCCUUAAGGGAAACUUUUAGUGAGGAAGGAAAGCAACCCCUUCGUUGGGUAAAUCUGGAUGAAGAAGAAUGCAAUGAUCUAGCAAUAUUUCUCUCUGGAACUUCUCAAACAUCAAUGAGUGUGAGAGAUGAUUGCAUCAAGUCCAGACCUGUGAAAACCUCCCUUGUGGAAAAUCGUCAUAGAAGAAAUGGAGCAGACCUUAAUGCUAAUUCAAGCUGCAGCACAGAUACUUCUGAUGAAAAGAAAAGUUUGGAAGAUGUUAGGAGAAAGGAUGCUGACUGUGUUAUAGAAGUAGAAGAGAAGGUAACUCCAAGGAGGGACGAUUUAAAAUGUCAGCCAGACAGAGCAACAUGGAGUUCACCUAAUUUCAGUGCUUUAAGGAUCGCAGUUGCAGAUGAAGAUGAAGAGAGGAAUAAAUUAAUGACAGGUGUUGAAGCUACACCUAAAGAAAAAAGAUCCAAACCAUUCUUUUGGAUGCAAAGGUCUCAGGAACAUUAUCAAGUGAAGAGAGCAGUUAAUUUGUUCAAUCAGGUCAGCUCUUUGGUAGGGUUGGUAGAAUUCAAAGACCAUUCCAAAGUCCUCAAAUGCAAUUUAGCUGUUCUGUUCAACUGACACUGGCCUUGAUGCUAACUAUUUUUCUAAUUGUGCCCUUUGUGCUUUUCUCAACUUGAACUGUGUGAUGGGUUGCAGCUCCUUUUCAAGAUGAGGCAUCCCAAAUUGUAAACAAGAAAAGCCUUUCUAUAUUGCUAAUUCUUACAGUUCCAAACACCCGUGUCAUUUUCAUGGCUUAGGAGUUACGAGCUGGCUCAACUUUCUCUCAUCGACACGGUUAAACUCUAGCAACAGAGAUAGGCUUUCAGUACAGAAUUUUCUUGCCUUACAAAAUGUAUAUCCCUUUGUUAUAUACCCUUUAGAGGAGGGUAUCUUCUGAUGUGGUAGUGCAGAGAAAUGUCUGUAGAAAAAACAUGGCACUGCGACAUUACAGAAAUAUUAUCAGUUAUUGCACGAUCCAGAUCAAAUCUCUGGCGUUUGCGUGUUCUGCCCUCUCA
RNA transcript from Carica papaya (papaya), 1641 nucleotides. It is a transcript of the gene named Syntaxin/t-SNARE family protein, with no coding region annotated. NCBI's taxonomy places the organism in Eukaryota, Viridiplantae, Streptophyta, Magnoliopsida, Brassicales, Caricaceae. The record is from RefSeq and is a predicted model, not a curated record.